RNAcentral lists this ribosomal RNA (802 nucleotides) under uncultured Rubrobacter sp. RNAcentral's name for it is "bacterial SSU rRNA". It matches the Rfam family "Bacterial small subunit ribosomal RNA", at positions 8 to 796 of the family's 1533-position model. The record is from RNAcentral. Lineage: Bacteria; Bacillati; Actinomycetota; Rubrobacteria; Rubrobacterales; Rubrobacteraceae.
AGAGUUUGAUCAUGGCUCAGGACGAACGCUGACGGUGUGCUUUAGACAUGCAAGUCGAACGAGAAAGCCCUUCGGGGUGAGUACAGUGGCGAACGGGUGAGUAACACGUGGGUAACCUGCCCCUCGCAGAGGGACAACCGGGGGGAAACCCCGGCUAAUACCUCGUACGCUUGCCGGGCCGCAUGGCUCGGCAAGGAAAGGUAGCUUCGGCCAUCCGGCGAGGGAUGGGCCCGCGGUCCAUUAGCUAGUUGGUGAGGUAACGGCCCACCAAGGCGACGAUGGAUAGCUGGUCCGAGAGGACGAUCAGCCACACUGGGACUGAGACACGGCCCAGACUCCUACGGGAGGCAGCAGUCGGGAAUCUUGCGCAAUGGGCGAAAGCCUGACGCAGCAACACCGUGUGGGCGACGAAGGCCUUCGGGUCGUAAAGCCCUGUUGUUGGGGACGAAGGGCGAAGGGUUAAUAGCCCCUAGCCUGACGGUACCCUUCGAGGAAGCCCCGGCUAACUACGUGCCAGCAGCCGCGGUAAUACGUAGGGGGCGAGCGUUGUCCGGAAUUAUUGGGCGUAAAGAGCGUGUAGGCGGUUCGGUAAGUCUGCCGUGAAACCCUAGGGCUCAACCCUAGGCGUGCGGUGGAUACUGCCGGGCUAGAGGGUGGUAGAGGCGAGUGGAAUUCCCGGUGUAGCGGUGAAAUGCGCAGAUAUCGGGAGGAACACCAGUAGCGAAGGCGGCUCGCUGGGCCAUUCCUGACGCUGAGACGCGAAAGCAUGGGGAGCGAACAGGAUUAGAUACCCCCGUAGUCC